RNAcentral lists this ribosomal RNA (497 nucleotides) under uncultured bacterium. Its description in RNAcentral is "partial 16S ribosomal RNA". It matches the Rfam family "Bacterial small subunit ribosomal RNA", at positions 28 to 507 of the family's 1533-position model. The record is from RNAcentral.
GACGAACGCUGGCGGCGUGCCUAAUACAUGCAAGUUGAGCGCUGAAGGUUGGUACUUGUACCGACUGGAUGAGCAGCGAACGGGUGAGUAACGCGUGGGGAAUCCGCCUUUGAGCGGGGGACAACAUUUGGAAACGAAUGCUAAUACCGCAUAAAAACUUUAAACACAAGUUUUAAGUCUGAAAGAUGCAAUUGCAUCACUCAAAGAUGAUCCCGCGUUGUAUUAGCUAGUUGGUGAGGUAAAGGCUCACCAAGGCGAUGAUACAUAGCCGACCUGAGAGGGUGAUCGGCCACAUUGGGACUGAGACACGGCCCAAACUCCUACGGGAGGCAGCAGUAGGGAAUCUUCGGCAAUGGACGAAAGUCUGACCGAGCAACGCCGCGUGAGUGAAGAAGGUUUUCGGAUCGUAAAACUCUGUUGGUAGAGAAGAACGUUGGUGAGAGUGGAAAGCUCAUCAAGUGACGGUAACUACCCAGAAAGGGACGGCUAACUACGUG